GACAUUGGUGUUGAAUGGCCCUGGUUGAAAUCCUAUCCCAACUUUGUUCUUAUUUUCAGCGAUCUCCACAACACGGCCCCAUUUAUCAAUGCUGCCAGCCUUAAUAGCUUCUUGCGUAUCUUUCAAAGAAUACAUGGGUACCCCAAUUUUCCUCAUUUCAUCGGCAACUGAUAAGUCUUGGAACGGUGUUCCAACCUCCUCUUUAGCAUCAACGUACGUGAAAGAUGAAAAAUGACUCACCAAUA
This 245-nucleotide long non-coding RNA is filed under the name Lathyrus oleraceus (garden pea). Its description in RNAcentral is "Pisum sativum (pea) long non-coding RNA (PSAT_LNC013881)". The record is from RNAcentral. Lineage: Eukaryota; Viridiplantae; Streptophyta; Magnoliopsida; Fabales; Fabaceae.